RNAcentral lists this ribosomal RNA (618 nucleotides) under Bacillus mobilis. RNAcentral describes it as "bacterial SSU rRNA". It matches the Rfam family "Bacterial small subunit ribosomal RNA", at positions 852 to 1469 of the family's 1533-position model. Lineage: Bacteria; Bacillati; Bacillota; Bacilli; Caryophanales; Bacillaceae. The record is from RNAcentral.
UAAACGCAUUAAGCACUCCGCAUAGGGUGUAGGUAGCAAGACUGAAACUCAAAGGAAUUGACGGGGGCCCGCACAAGCGGUGGAGCAUGUGGUUUAAUUAGAAGCAACGCGAAGAACCUUACCAGGUCUUGACAUCCUCUGAAAACCCUAGAGAUAGGGCUUCUCCUUCGGGAGCAGAGUGACAGGUGGUGCAUGGUUGUCGUCAGCUCGUGUCGUGAGAUGUUGGGUUAAGUCCCGCAACGAGCGCAACCCUUGAUCUUAGUUGCCAUCAUUAAGUUGGGCACUCUAAGGUGACUGCCGGUGACAAACCGGAGGAAGGUGGGGAUGACGUCAAAUCAUCAUGCCCCUUAUGACCUGGGCUACACACGUGCUACAAUGGACGGUACAAAGAGCUGCAAGACCGCGAGGUGGAGCUAAUCUCAUAAAACCGUUCUCAGUUCGGAUUGUAGGCUGCAACUCGCCUACAUGAAGCUGGAAUCGCUAGUAAUCGCGGAUCAGCAUGCCGCGGUGAAUACGUUCCCGGGCCUUGUACACACCGCCCGUCACACCACGAGAGUUUGUAACACCCGAAUGUGCGGUGGGNUAACCUUCAGGAGCCAGCCGCAUAGUUGAGNUACU